UGUACCUCGUCAUUAGUCUUCCAGGUGUGUGUGGAGACGGCCUCACCUCGCAGCACGACCGCUGUGUGACUGGGUCCUUUCUACUUUGAGCGUCCUACCUAAGACAACAGAAAUGUCUCGACGCCAUGAGGGAGGAAAGGAGCGGGGGAACAGAGGUGUCAAUCGCCUGUCACUGAAGGUGCUUCGGGACAACAUCCAGUGUAUCACCAAGCCAAGGGCGCAUGCAGUCUUUCCGAGACAUUCGACAAGGAUCUUACUGGUGCCAUCAAGCCCGGAUCAACUGCAGCUGCAAUGUUCAAGUUAAGUGCUUAAUAAUAUGUCUUAUGGGGUUUGAAAUGGUAAUGGUUGCAGAUAUGGACUCCUUUUGCAUUCAGGGCUUCAGUCCGUUUCCGUGGUGUACAGGCCUGGUGUGUGGCUGGUUUGGUUUCUGUGACUGUGUCGAUAGUCUAGAUGGAUUCGGCGUUACUGUAAAUUCUGCUGUUUCUUAGUAAACAGGGUUUUCCCUGGUUCACCAUCUGUUGUCAUUUCUGUUUUAUGUCAUGGUCAGUGGUUUUCGGGGACCUAGACCAUUACAUAAGCUGCCUCGUGUCGUUUUCUUGGGUCCCGAACCAAGAGGACGACACAGGCCAGAAAGAAACACAGGUGGUUGAACAGUCUAUUUAAUAUUAGUAGUUUAUUCCUUUAGAACAAGGACGUUAUAUCAGCUAUAACGUCCUUGUUUAGAAAUACUCGACAUCUCGGCGUCGACACAGUCACAGAAACCGAAUCAGCCAUUCAUUGGGCUUGUACACCACAGAAACAGACUGAAGCAAUGAGUGCAGAAGUAGCCAUAUAUAGCUCUCGAAAUUUAAACUGAAGUUCUUAACUAUAUUUCUGAGCCAAGUUUAAUCUUUGUCUCGUUUUUUCUUUCUUUCUACCGAGGAUCAUUGCACCGUACGAGGAAGUGUCUGGACAGGGAAAGGGAGGCGAGGACUGGUGAGGGAAGGUACCGGACGUGACCGACUGGGGAUUCGCAGUCUUCCCACACAUAUGACAAGGUAUCUAUUGUGUGAAAGCAC
Long non-coding RNA from Branchiostoma floridae (Florida lancelet), 1058 nucleotides. RefSeq lists it as uncharacterized. Lineage: Eukaryota; Metazoa; Chordata; Leptocardii; Amphioxiformes; Branchiostomatidae. The transcript is spliced from 3 exons. The record is from RefSeq and is a predicted model, not a curated record.